AUAAUCUUUGGCAGAUGGCCAGGAUAGAGAUUAGUCUACAUCUGACGCUAGCUACUACUUCUGCGGGCUGUCAACCAGCAAAGCUGAGACUGGUGUGUUGUUAAUGAGGCAAAAAUAAUGAUGGCCGAUCACUAGACAAGGAUGCAGUGGCCAGACACCAGUCCUGUUUCAGAGUAAUGGAUGACACCUGAAUCAGGAGGUGCCCCCUUCCACAGUGCCAAUGGUCUACUCCUGGGCCUGAUCUUUCUCUCUCUCCCUCCCUCUCUUUCUUUGUUAUAGGAGCUUGGUCAGAUCUGUAAGUCAAUGGCCAGUAUCUGUGACGAGAGGAGCCUGUAGCUGAUCUAUGCUGCCAUGCCCUUCAGGCGUUGGCAAACACCUCCGAAGGGACAAAAGGUGAUUUACUAUAUAAUAACACUACAUCACAAGAGUUUAGAAACCCUGGCAUACACUACAGUGGUAUGAGAAGAGUGCCAUCCUCCUGCAUCUCUCAUCUGGCUGUAGUUAUUGAACUCUACCUGCUGGACCCAUGGGUUGAGGCAAACUCUGUCAUAUCCAGGAUGGACUGUUCAUGCACUCCACCCCUCCUGCCACCUGACUGCACCUGUCCAUAACCUAUAAGACAUUACAUAGAGUACAUUUACAGUACAUGCACACUAACCUCAUCGGCAGACUCAAUAGCCUUGGUUUCUUAAAUGAUUGCCUCGCCUGGUUCACCAACUACUUCUCUGAUAGAG
Salmo salar (Atlantic salmon) is the source of this 734-nucleotide non-coding RNA. The record is from RefSeq and is a predicted model, not a curated record. NCBI's taxonomy places the organism in Eukaryota, Metazoa, Chordata, Actinopteri, Salmoniformes, Salmonidae.